This 242-nucleotide ribosomal RNA is filed under the name uncultured bacterium. Its description in RNAcentral is "partial 16S ribosomal RNA". It matches the Rfam family "Bacterial small subunit ribosomal RNA", at positions 92 to 334 of the family's 1533-position model. The record is from RNAcentral.
UCAGUGGCGAACGGGUGAGUAACACGUGAGCAAUCUGCCCCUGACUCUGGGAUAAGCGCUGGAAACGGCGUCUAAUACUGGAUAUGAACCGUGGAGGCAUCUUCAACGGUUGGAAAGAUUUUUUGGUCAGGGAUGAGCUCGCGGCCUAUCAGCUUGUUGGUGAGGUAAUGGCUCACCAAGGCGUCGACGGGUAGCCGGCCUGAGAGGGUGACCGGCCACACUGGGACUGAGACACGGCCCAG